This 89-nucleotide microRNA precursor is filed under the name Canis lupus familiaris (dog). RNAcentral's name for it is "mir-8799 microRNA precursor family". It matches the Rfam family "mir-8799 microRNA precursor family". The record is from Rfam by way of RNAcentral. Lineage: Eukaryota; Metazoa; Chordata; Mammalia; Carnivora; Canidae. RNAcentral also lists the same sequence under 1 other name.
CGAGGGAGGCCGGAUCCUGGGCUGUGUCCCGGCGCCCUGUGCUCCGGGGCCUGCGCUGUUGGAUUCACGCUCCCGCCCCGCAGCCCCCU